GUAGAGUUAAAUCGAAACGAAGGUAGGUUUUGGUUAACAGAAGAUCGUCUUUUUUUUUUUCGUAAAUAAUUAGGCUGUUAGUUUAUGAAAUCUAAAUGCUUGUGAGUAGGAGUGACUGAAUGUGAAUGCUAAUCUAGUAGAGUAAAAUAGAAUGCUUGCAAGAACUUGUCUUAAUUGUGCGUCUCUUUGGUUAUUGUGUCUGCAUUUGGUUUGCAGUUUCAUGAAAUUUAUUCAUAAUGUAAUGUUAGAGUUGAGGCACGUUUCUUUUUCAUUGAGUUUAGGUUGAAAAGAACUGUUUUUGUAGAGGUGUGAGCCAUAUGAGAUCCCAUUUUUUAUCAAUGUGAAAUGAAAUGAUAUGUGAAAUUCUCUGACCCAUGUUGAGGACUGUUGGCAAGGUUCAGUUGUUUGAGCUUGGGUUGCUUACAUCAAAAUGCUUGGCUCCCCUUUCUAUUUAGUUUCUUGUUUCUCUUUGUUUGUUUCCAAUGUGAGACUCCAACAUGAUCCCUCUUCUCUGCAGAAUAGGUCGGUGGUACAAUGAG
RNAcentral lists this unclassified non-coding RNA (539 nucleotides) under Hevea brasiliensis (rubber tree). The record is from RNAcentral. Lineage: Eukaryota; Viridiplantae; Streptophyta; Magnoliopsida; Malpighiales; Euphorbiaceae.